UACGUAGGGUGCGAGCGUUAAUCGGAAUUACUGGGCGUAAAGGGUGCGCAGGCGGUUAUAUAAGACAGAUGUGAAAUCCCCGGGCUCAACCUGGGACUGCGUUUGUGACUGUAUGACUAGAGUACGGUAGAGAGGGGUGGAAUUCCUGGUGUAGCAGUGAAAUGCGUAGAUAUCAGGAGGAACACCGGUGGGCGAAGGCGGGUCUCUGGGCAGUAACUGACGCUGGAGGAGCGAAAGCGUGGGGAGCGAACGG
Molecule: ribosomal RNA, 253 nt
Filed under: uncultured bacterium
Lineage: Bacteria
Description: partial 16S ribosomal RNA
Rfam family: Bacterial small subunit ribosomal RNA
Source: RNAcentral